This 543-nucleotide ribosomal RNA is filed under the name Enterobacter hormaechei subsp. xiangfangensis. RNAcentral's name for it is "bacterial SSU rRNA". It matches the Rfam family "Bacterial small subunit ribosomal RNA", at positions 109 to 648 of the family's 1533-position model. The record is from RNAcentral. Lineage: Bacteria; Pseudomonadati; Pseudomonadota; Gammaproteobacteria; Enterobacterales; Enterobacteriaceae.
AGUAAUGUCUGGGAAACUGCCUGAUGGAGGGGGAUAACUACUGGAAACGGUAGCUAAUACCGCAUAACGUCGCAAGACCAAAGAGGGGGACCUUCGGGCCUCUUGCCAUCGGAUGUGCCCAGAUGGGAUUAGCUAGUAGGUGGGGUAACGGCUCACCUAGGCGACGAUCCCUAGCUGGUCUGAGAGGAUGACCAGCCACACUGGAACUGAGACACGGUCCAGACUCCUACGGGAGGCAGCAGUGGGGAAUAUUGCACAAUGGGCGCAAGCCUGAUGCAGCCAUGCCGCGUGUAUGAAGAAGGCCUUCGGGUUGUAAAGUACUUUCAGCGGGGAGGAAGGCGUUAAGGUUAAUAACCUUGUCGAUUGACGUUACCCGCAGAAGAAGCACCGGCUAACUCCGUGCCAGCAGCCGCGGUAAUACGGAGGGUGCAAGCGUUAAUCGGAAUUACUGGGCGUAAAGCGCACGCAGGCGGUCUGUCAAGUCGGAUGUGAAAUCCCCGGGCUCAACCUGGGAACUGCAUUCGAAACUGGCAGGCUAGAGUC